RNAcentral lists this unclassified non-coding RNA (211 nucleotides) under Lactarius sublaccarioides. RNAcentral describes it as "internal transribed spacer 1". Lineage: Eukaryota; Fungi; Basidiomycota; Agaricomycetes; Russulales; Russulaceae. The record is from RNAcentral.
UCGUAUGAAAUGUGGGGGGGGGCACGCAAGGGCUGUCGCUGACCCAAAAGUCGUGCACGCCUGGGUGGGUCCCCUUGCACGACAAUCCAUCUCACCCUUUGUGCAUCACCGCGUGGGCUCCCUUCUCGGAGGGGCCCCACGUUUUCACACAAAACCCCCCUUUUAAAAAGUGUAGAAUGACCUCAUGUAUGCGUUAACCCGCGAUCAAUAC